Molecule: long non-coding RNA, 1220 nt
Organism: Trifolium pratense (red clover)
Lineage: Eukaryota; Viridiplantae; Streptophyta; Magnoliopsida; Fabales; Fabaceae
Exons: 5
Source: RefSeq, a predicted model, not a curated record
ACCUUGCGGCCGUUCAAAAGCAACCGUCGAGAAGUCGACAAACCCGCGCUGUUUCACUUCUUCCCUCUUUUUUCAGAAUUUCUUCAAUCCCACAACCUUCGAGCUUCAAUCUCUAAAUCAGAUUCGUUUUCAAGCUUCUUCAAUCCCUAAACCCUAAAAAAAUCUGCGAUAUUCUUACUCAUUAGCUUCAAUCCUAAAUCUGUGAUUCUCACUCACAAGCUCCAAUCCCUAAAUCUCUCAAGCUACGUUCAGGUUCAACAUUCAGGCUUCGUUCGAAUCCCUAAAUCACUCAACCUCUCAAGCUUCGUUGAACCUCUCAAGCUUCGCUGAACCUUCAAUCUUCAUUCAACUUCGUUCAGCUUCGUUCAACAUUCAAAUUCAUAUUCAAUCUUCAAAAUCCAGGUUUUGGCUUUUAAGAACAAGAAACUACUAUCCAUUCUCAGUUUUGAAGUUGAUGCUGUGAGGAAGGUACCUAAGGUAUUGCUGCGAGAUCCAACAGAUGAACACGUGGUUCUUGUUGUUGAGGAACUGCAGAGGCGAUUGCCUAAACUGAGUGACAUCCGUCAACAACAAGGAGAUGGUAAAGAGUAUUUUGGUGGUCAACAGGAUGCUGAAGCUGCUGAAGAUGAGUCACCGUUUGAGUUUCAUGCCUUGGAGGUGGUUUUAGAAGCCAUUUGUAGUUAUCUUGUUGCACGUACAACUGAGUUGGAGAUGGUUGCUUAUCCUGCCUUAUAUGAACUUACCUCCAAGAUUAGUAGUCGUAAUUUGGACAGAGUUCGUAAACUGAAGAGUGCAAUGACAAGGCUGACAGCUCGGGUUCAAAAGGUAUGUUAAGCUCUUCUUGAGGUUUAAAACUAUCAUGCUUCAUAUCCCUUUGUAUUUUAGUUAUACUAGUUAAGAAGGGUAAUAUUUUAGUUAUACUAGAGUUAAGAAGGGUGAGGUUUAGGACUGGAAUAGCAGAAUCUUUGUUUGGUUUGUGGUGUGUUAAUUUCAGCUUGCUUGUUUGGUAUUCUGUCAAUUUCAUCUUUUAUAUUUGGAAGUUUUUACUUGCAAUUAGCUUUUUUUCUUAAUUUAUUAUAUAAUAUAGAUGCAAUUCUCUACCAAAAAAUAAAAAUAUAGAUGCAAUUAGCAUCUUCUAUGUUUUGGAUGUUUAGGUAUAGGUGGGCUAUUUUUAUUAUGUUUAAGAGACCUUGUUUAGUAUAAUUAAUUGCAGCAAAAAA